GAUUCUUACCUCUCCUGCUAACGCAAUCCCUUCGACCCUGCCCUCCUCGCGAACCUGGACGUGAUCCUCCCGACGCGUGCCCUCAUCUCGUCCUCGCGCCGCCGUCCUCUCCUAGUCCGACCUUGACCUCAUUCCUUCGAUUCCGGCGACUCCUCUGUGCCCCUGGCCUGGCCGACGCCGUCACAUCCGACGCCGAGGAGCCGGCCUGAUAGGCUUGAACCAUCCCUUGAUCCCUCGAGUCUUCUGCAUCCCUCGAUGUCUCGAUCCCUUGUCUUCUCCAUCUCUCGAUCCCUCACAUCCUUGCUGCUACGAAGAGAACGGUUCCCUUUCUACAUGGUCUGGCGUGAAAGAGCUCGAGCAAGGAGGGCGUGUGCGGCCACCUCGCGCUUCGGCGAGAUCCUCGAGGCUGUCAUCGCAGACAAGGGCACUGGAAGAUCCAAGGGCGGCGGAUUCAUGAGUACCGCCCAAACAAUUCUCUCCUCCCCUCAUCAUCGCUUGAUCUCCCCGUAGUUAAUAUUCUUGCUUAAUUCAACCCCAUUAGUUGAUGCUUGGCAUGUUACGUUCCAGGAGGCGGAGGCUGCCAUUAGGGCGUGCUUGGGCCGGUACCCGGUGAUUGACGGUCGGAGGGCCUACUGCAACCUCGCCUGCCUCAGGGUCCAGAUGUCCAAGGCGCCACAACCAACUGCCUCUGCAUCCAUAUGCUGGGUGUCCAUGUUGGACGGAGACUUUCUCGUAGCCGAUGGUUGCCCUUCAAGCACCAACAAAUUAGAAAUUCCAAGCCCUGCUGAGAUUACGAGCUGGGUGGAAAGGGAAUCAACACCAUCACGCCAAAACAUUGAAGGAGCAAUCCAAGAGCUAAAAACUACAGUGAUCUCACUAUCCAUCAACAAUUGUUAUUUUUCUCUAUCUACGUCCUAAUCAGGCCCUAGAGCUUGAACCUUCUUCAGCAAAUAAGGGUCACCAAGUUCUUAUAGUCAGUCACUGGACCACAACGCUUGAUAUCCUUCAAUGGACACUGGAAGUAAUAUGAGCUACAGAUAUGCGUCCCAAUGGGGGGUUAUUUAUUUCCUCAACAAGGUACAGUACAGUAGGACAGGUAAAGUGAACACACAACUUGAUUCUAUGGUUCUUAGAAUGUCACUGUACUAUGUUUUAGGCUAAGCAGAAGCAGCGUUGGCCAUGAAGAACAUCAGUUUAUCUUUAAGAUAUCUCUGAAAUUUUGGAGAGUCUGAUGUGUUACGAAUUAUUGUUGUAUAUAAGGAGAAUAGUAGGAGAAGAUCUGCACUUGUGUAUGUGUGCAAGUUACAGUACAGUAGGAAUGGUAAAGUGAACACACAACUUUUUUGGAGGGAAAGGUCAUAAUGGCUAGCUUUAUUAACUCAAACAAGAAUUACAUCGUUCACUAAUUGGCUGAUCAGAAACCAUGGGGGUUCAUCAGUCCAAUUUUCAUUACAUUUAUUAUAAAAACUAAACUUUGCUAGCUCAUGAGCUACUGAAUUAGCAUAACGAAAACAGUGUGAAAAGAUGAUCUUCCUUUCGAUGUUGCCGUAUCAAUACAUCCUGCAAAGAUUGCCGUUGUUGCAUCCCACCACUGUGCUUGUCCCUGGCAAUUGUUAACAACACUCAAGAAAUCAGAUUAUGCUUCAGUUCUAUUAAAUCCCAAAGUAUUUGCUAGAUUUAACCCAUCACAACUUGAUUUUAUGGUUAUUACAACGUAACCGUAAUAUGUUUCAGGCUAAGCAGAAGUAGCGUUGGCAUUGAAGAACAUCAAUUUAUCUUAACGAUAUCUCUGAAAUUUUGGAGAGUCUGAUAUGUUACGAAUUAUUUUUGUAUAUAAGGAGAAUAGUAGGAGAAGAUCUGCAGUUGUGUAUGUAUAAGCUUUACUGACGUAGUUUUUUGUUCUUGCAAGAUCCUAACCGUUUACCCAUUUGCUACCUAGAUUCACUUACUGAUUGUAAAUUGCUUAACUUCUUGCACAUAAAAAGACAAUAGGCUUGGAUUUGUGAAACAACUAUAUUUUUCUGUACAAUGGUGAAAGAGCUACAUUGCUAUAUCGCUCUCUAAUUCAAUUUCUUCAAUUCCAUAUGGACAUAGGAAACUUGAAUACUACACCACAACUCUUAGGCCUGCCAAACUAUAAGGAUGAUCACGUGGUCAUGAGCGGAACCGGAUGUACCCCGUAAGAAAUUUUAUCUAAUUCUGAUCUCGAGCUCAUGGAUAAUCCACCUGAUGGAGUCAAAGACAAACAUCCUAGCCCAAUCCCCAUCAUGCACACGGAUCAAUGUGAAUUACUUCCUGGCCACCGCAACUACAUCAUGUCGAUCGAUGAUGCAAGUGUUUGGAGUAUCAUUUAUCAAUAUGUAAUGUGCCAGUAUACAUUAUUUUUAUUCUUACCACCCAAUUUUCAGGAAGGAAUGGGUCCGAAGCUCGACACCUCGUCCAAUGGUCUUAAGUCUCAAAAAACUUCAGGGCAUACUUAACAUGGAGCAGUCUAUGGACAAUGAUUGUUUCAACAUUGUCGUGCAUAUACUGGCAUGUGACGAGGGAGUAUUGUUCGCAGACCCUCCUAUACACUACAUGGAUUUACAAUUUUGUGUAAAUUAUCAAAAUUCUUCAUUCAAUAUCAUUAGUAUCAACAUGUUUCUAAAUAGUUUUUUACUCAGUCCAUGAUGCUGGAUUCAACACGAGAUCAAAAGUUCUGCGAUAAGGAAACUAUUCAGAAAUUGGCAACUUUGUUUGAUAGCUGGCUUGGGAUAGACAACAACAUCUCAUCGGGCAACAUGGUAAGUAAGGUCUUUUGUCUAUUGUUUAUCAUGGUUUAUGUUGUCUGUAAUAGCUACCACUUAUAGAUUUAUCUUCCAUAUGAAUCCAUCGGUCGAUACAUCUUGUACGUCAUCGACAAAGAGGCACGUCGUGUAUCUAUUCUGGACCCUAUUCAUACAACACAAUCGUCAGAGAUGAAAAUUCUGAGGUACUUAGUGAAAUUAAAAAGUUUUGCAAGGGAAUUCAAAGAAGCACUCGAAAUAAAGCAACCAGGAUGAAAUUUUGAUAUAUCCAAAUGGCAACGUUUAUUUGUUAAUGGCAUUCCAACGAGCGUAGAUGGGUAAUAAAUUUAGAAUAUAAACAUUUAUUUUUGUUAUCACAAUAUUUAAUGUAAUAACAAUUUAGGAAAUUGCAAGGAUUUGCCAGGCUAUUUUGUCUUUCAUUUUAUGCUAUUGUGGAACUGUAAAGACCUGGCGAAGCUGGUUUGUGUGGUGUGUAUUGUGCGUUACACAUGUUUUUAAACCUUCCACGUGAAGUAUUCGUGCUAGAUAUAUAUAUUGCUUUUGCAGGAUGGGUAUGAGUUGAGGAAGCAGUUUUUAUAUACUUGCUCAAACAUCGUGCGAAUGAAGCUAAAGACAACUUGCCUGAUAUUGUGAAGGAAUUUCUGAAGCGCAUCAAGUAGAUCUCAAUACUUUGUAAUAGAUUUUUAGUUGGAUCAUCACUUUAUACAUAUACAUUGUUAAUAUGCUAUUUUGUGAUCACUUUACAUUACAAGUGAAGUGGACUUCAAUUAUUAUGCAAUUGUGAACCUCUUA
This is a long non-coding RNA of Triticum aestivum (bread wheat), 3578 nucleotides long. RefSeq lists it as uncharacterized. NCBI's taxonomy places the organism in Eukaryota, Viridiplantae, Streptophyta, Magnoliopsida, Poales, Poaceae. The transcript is spliced from 4 exons. The record is from RefSeq and is a predicted model, not a curated record.